Molecule: ribosomal RNA, 459 nt
Filed under: uncultured bacterium
Lineage: Bacteria
Description: partial 16S ribosomal RNA
Rfam family: Bacterial small subunit ribosomal RNA
Source: RNAcentral
CCUACGGGAGGCAGCAGUGAGGCAUAUUGGUCAAUGGCCGAAAGGCUGAACCAGCCAAGUCGCGUGAGGGAAGACGGUCCUAUGGAUUUUAACCCUCUUUUGUCGGGGAGCAAAAGACGCCAUGCGUGUCGUUCCGCGAGUACCCGAAUAAAAAGCAUCGGCUAACUCCGUGCCAGCAGCCGCGGUAAUACGGAGGAUGCGUGGGUUAUCCGGAUUUAUUGGGUUUAAAGGGUGCGAAGUGGGAAGAUCAAGUCGGCGGUAAAAUUGAGGGGCUAAACCCCUUAUAGCCGUUGAAACUGGUUUUCUUGAGUGAGCGAGAGGUAAGCGGAAUGCGUGGUGUAGCGGUGAAAUGCGUAGAUAUCACGAAGAACUCCGAUUGCGAAGGCAGCAUACCGGAGCUAAACUGACGCGCAUGCACGAAAGUGCGGGUAUCGAACAGGAUUAGAUACCCCAGUAGUC